This is a non-coding RNA of Podarcis lilfordi (Lilford's wall lizard), 74 nucleotides long. The record is from the annotation of a GenBank genome assembly. Lineage: Eukaryota; Metazoa; Chordata; Lepidosauria; Squamata; Lacertidae.
GAAGGACUGCAGCUCAGUGACAGAACAUCUGCCUCCCAUGCAGAAGGUCUCAGGUUCAACCCUGAGCAUCUUCA